This 502-nucleotide ribosomal RNA is filed under the name uncultured Glomeromycotina. RNAcentral describes it as "partial small subunit ribosomal RNA". It matches the Rfam family "Eukaryotic small subunit ribosomal RNA", at positions 591 to 1092 of the family's 1831-position model. The record is from RNAcentral. Lineage: Eukaryota; Fungi; Glomeromycota.
CCAAUAGCGUAUAUUAAAGUUGUUGCAGUUAAAAAGCUCGUAGUUGAACUUCGGGGUCUACCCAUUGGUCAGGCUUAAUUGUCUGUACUGGUGAGAUGGAUCUCUACCUUCUGAGGAACUUUCAUGCCAUUUAUUUGGUGUGAUGGGAAAUCAGGACUGUUACUUUGAAAAAAUUAGAGUGUUUAAAGCAGACUAUCGUCUGAAUACAUUAGCAUGGAAUAAUGAAAUAGGACGGACUGAUUCUAUUUCGUUGGUUUCUAGGAUCACCGUAAUGAUUAAUAGGGAUAGUUGGGGGCAUUAGUAUUCAAUUGUCAGAGGUGAAAUUCUUGGAUUUAUUGAAGACUAACUACUGCGAAAGCAUUUGCCAAGGAUGUUUUCAUUAAUCAAGAACGAAAGUUAGGGGAUCGAAGACGAUCAGAUACCGUCGUAGUCUUAACCAUAAACUAUGCCGACUAGGGAUCGGACGAAGUUAAUUUUAUAAUGACGCGUUCGGCACCUUACG